UACGGAGGGGGCUAGCGUUGUUCGGAAUUACUGGGCGUAAAGCGCACGUAGGCGGAUCAGAAAGUCAGAGGUGAAAUCCCAGGGCUCAACCUUGGAACUGCCUUUGAAACUCCUGGUCUUGAGGUCGAGAGAGGUGAGUGGAAUUCCGAGUGUAGAGGUGAAAUUCGUAGAUAUUCGGAGGAACACCAGUGGCGAAGGCGGCUCACUGGCUCGAUACUGACGCUGAGGUGCGAAAGCGUGGGGAGCAAACAGG
Molecule: ribosomal RNA, 253 nt
Filed under: uncultured bacterium
Lineage: Bacteria
Description: partial 16S ribosomal RNA
Rfam family: Bacterial small subunit ribosomal RNA
Source: RNAcentral